AAACGUAGGGGGCGAGCGUUGUCCGGAAUUACUGGGCGUAAAGGGUGCGUAGGCGGCUAUUUAAGUCAGAUGUGAAAGGCUACGGCUCAACCGUAGUGAGCAUUUGAAACUGAAUAGCUUGAGUCAAGGAGAGGGAAGUGGAAUUCCUGGUGUAGCGGUGAAAUGCGUAGAUAUCAGGAGGAAUACCAGUGGCGAAGGCGACUUCCUGGCCUUAGACUGACGCUGAGGCACGAAAGCGUAGGGAGCAAACAGGAUUAGAUACCCUGGUGGUCCACGCCGUAAACGAUGAGUGCUAGGUGUUGGGGAGGUUACUCUUCAGUGCCGCAGCUAACGCAAUAAGCACUCCGCCUGGGGAGUACGUACGCAAGUAUGAA
This 374-nucleotide ribosomal RNA is filed under the name uncultured bacterium. RNAcentral's name for it is "bacterial SSU rRNA". It matches the Rfam family "Bacterial small subunit ribosomal RNA", at positions 523 to 898 of the family's 1533-position model. The record is from RNAcentral.